AAAGGAAGAUUAAUACUCCAUAAUAUAUUGAACGGCAUCGUUUAAUAUUGAAAGCUCCGGCGGAUGGAGAUGGGCACGCGCGAGAUUAGCUAGUUGGUGAGGUAACGGCUCACCAAGGCGAUGAUCUUUAGGGGGCCUGAGAGGGUGAUCCCCCACACUGGUACUGGGACACGGACCAG
Molecule: ribosomal RNA, 179 nt
Filed under: uncultured Flavobacteriales bacterium
Lineage: Bacteria; Pseudomonadati; Bacteroidota; Flavobacteriia; Flavobacteriales
Description: partial 16S ribosomal RNA
Rfam family: Bacterial small subunit ribosomal RNA
Source: RNAcentral